Molecule: ribosomal RNA, 1860 nt
Filed under: Triticum aestivum (bread wheat)
Lineage: Eukaryota; Viridiplantae; Streptophyta; Magnoliopsida; Poales; Poaceae
Description: partial small subunit ribosomal RNA
Source: RNAcentral
AUGAAUCAUUUGGUGGCGAUUGGCGGCGUCGCGAUGCUUCUGUUCAUGCUCACACUCCAGCUGUUUGUCGAAAUUCCAAAGAAUAAAGCAUCCCCAAGGCAGCUUAUCAUGCUCACUUCACGGCUACAUUUGGCUGCUGUGCUCUUCAGUGGCUGCCUGGGUUUGGUUUAUCUUGGGCUAGGAAUCUGGGUGCUGGGAAAUAACUUCAAUCAGGAGAAGACUAUCACAAUUAAAGCUUGUUUGGAUGUUCUGUCCUUACCAGGUGCAAUUCUCCUCCUUCUCUAUGGCAUUCAGCACAGGGUUGUUGAAGAGGGUUAUGGAAGAACUGGAAAUGGUUUACACGAGCCCCUGAACAUGGCGGCAGGCAGUGAGGUAGCCGAUUCUGAGAGUCGGGUAACUACCUUUGCUAAAGCUGGGUUUUUCAGUGAGAUGUCAUUUUGGUGGCUGAAUCCUUUAAUGAAUAAGGGGUAUGAGAAGCCCCUUGAGGACAACGACGUGCCACUUUUAGGCGCCAUGGAUCUAGCACAGAACCAGUACUUGAUGUUCAUGGAGAAGCUGAACAGCAAGAAGAGAAAAAAAAUCACCAUCAACACAACACCAUGGAUCUUCUGGACUAUUGUUUCUUGUCACAAGCAUGCGCUCUUGGUCUCAGGUUUCUUUGCUUUGCUCAAGGUUCUCACCUUAUCUACUGGCCCAAUACUUCUCAAGGCAUUCAUCAAUUUAUCACUUGGGAAAGGGACCUUUAAAUAUGAAGGGUACGUGCUUGCUGCGAUGAUGUUUGUCUGCAAAUGCUGUGAAUCAUUGUCUCAUAGACAGUGGAAUUUCCGCAUUCGGAGAUUAGGACUGCAGGUGAGGUCAUUCCUGUCAACAGCUAUUUAUAAGAAACAACAGAAGCUAUCAAAUGCAGAAACAAUGAAUCACUCUUCUGGGGAAAUUAUGAACUAUGUGAAUGUCGAUGCCUAUCGGAUUGGGGAAUUCCCAUACUGGUUCCAUCAAACAUGGACAACAAGCGUUCAGCUUUGCAUUGCUCUAGCAAUUUUAUACAAAGCGGUUGGUGCUGCAACGCUUUCAUCGUUGGUUGUCAUCAUUAUCACCGUACUCUCCAAUGCUCCAUUGGCCAAACUGCAACACAAGUUUCAGAGUAAACUUAUGGAAACGCAAGAUUCAAGAUUGAAGGCCAUGUCUGAGUCACUAGUUCAUAUGAAGGACCCAGUUAGGUCAAUACCAGAUGUUAUUGGAGCUGUGAUACAAGCUAAGGUUGCUUUCACUCGGAUAUCAAAGUUCCUUGAUGCACAUGAGCUAAACGGACAAAUUAGGAAGAAAUACUGUGUUGGCAUUGACUACCCUAUAUCGAUGAAUUUGUGCAGUUUCUCAUGGGAUGAAAAUCCAUCAAAACCAACACUAAAGAAUAUAAAUUUGGUGGUCAAAGUUGGAGAAAAGGUUGCAAUUUGUGGAGAGGUAGGGUCAGGAAAGUCGACGCUUUUGGCUGCUAUACUUGGAGAGGUCCCCAAAACUAAAGGCACAAUCCAUGUCUUUGGGAAGAUAGCAUACGUUUCUCAGAAUGCAUGGAUCCAAACAAGGACUGUGCAAGACAAUAUUCUCUUUGGAUCUUCGAUGGACAGGCAAAGAUACCAAGACACACUCGCGCAGUGCUCAUUGGUCAAGGACCUUGAAAUGCUGCCAUAUGAAGAUUGUACUCAGAUUGGGGAGAGAAGAGCAAAUCUUAGUGGUGGUCAGAAACAGCGUGUCCAGCUUGCUCGUGCACUAUACCAAAAUCCAGACAUCUAUCUUCUUGAUGACCCUUUCAGUGUUGUUGAUGCCCAUACAGCAACAAGUCUCUUCAAUGUAAGGAUCAUAUAA